UGUAGCCUUUCUAGUGCAAGUUUCAAUACACUUCAAUAAUAUUAUAUUCAAAGAAGUUAAUGAAUGAUACAUCUCUUUUUCUGCAAAAGACUAGAAGUGAAAGCCUAGGAGUCUUAAAUUUUUGUUAAUUAACUGAUUCAUUAAAUGUUGUUUUAUCUGCAAUGAUGAACACAUUUGUUUUGUGAUGAUCAAAGGGAAAUAAGUCAUCCUUUUAAAACUAUAGAAAGGGAUAUAAAUCAAAAUAAAUUUGAGAAUCAACAAUUUUCAGUUGUCUCGAAUUUUCUUUGGGUUGAAUGAAUGUACUGAGAUAAAUAUAAUUUAGAAAAAUGAUUCUAUAAAGUGUAGAAUUGUAUGUCCUUUUUAUGUACUAGAUUUGAAUCUUGAGAGUGGAUAUAAAAUUUCAAUAAAAUAUUGUGUCUUCUUUCAG
Non-coding RNA from Biomphalaria pfeifferi, 427 nucleotides. Lineage: Eukaryota; Metazoa; Mollusca; Gastropoda; Planorbidae. The record is from the annotation of a GenBank genome assembly.